Molecule: ribosomal RNA, 311 nt
Filed under: uncultured soil bacterium
Lineage: Bacteria
Description: bacterial SSU rRNA
Rfam family: Bacterial small subunit ribosomal RNA
Source: RNAcentral
GGAUUGAACGCUGGCGGCAGGCCUAACACAUGCAAGUCGAGCGGUAGAGAGGUGCUUGCACCUCUUGAGAGCGGCGGACGGGUGAGUAAUGCCUAGGAAUCUGCCUAGUGGUGGGGGAUAACGUUCGGAAACGGACGCUAAUACCGCAUACGUCCUACGGGAGAAAGCGGGGGACCUUCGGGCCUCGCGCCAUUAGAUGAGCCUAGGUCGGAUUAGCUAGUUGGUGAGGUAAUGGCUCACCAAAGGCGACGAUCCGUAAACUGGUCUGAGAGGAUGAUCAGUCACACUGGAACUGAGACACGGUCCAGACU